UUAAUUGUUAUGGAGACUUUAUCCCUCUCUUUAGCACAGAGCCAGGUGCAGCACAGGAAACCUCAUGGGGAAAUUUUUAUUGCUAAUGUGCCUCAACCCUGUUCUGGAGGGCUCAUCUCCAGUGGUGACAGGGUAGAGCCUCCAGGCCCAUUCAAGCUAUAACUGAA
Molecule: small RNA, 167 nt
Filed under: Gopherus agassizii (Agassiz's desert tortoise)
Lineage: Eukaryota; Metazoa; Chordata; Testudines; Testudinidae
Description: TUC338 (ENSGAGG00000006475.1)
Source: RNAcentral